GGCCAAUAGUGACGCGUGGGCAAUAAUGACGCGUGGCCAAUAAUGACGCGUGGCCAAUAAUAACGUGGCCAAUAUUGACGUGGCCAAUCCAAUCCGUGGCCAAUCGGAACCGUGGCCAAUAUUGACGUGGGCAAACGGGACGCUCUCAUUUUGUUUAUAGCUGUUUGUACCAAUAAUUUUGUUUGUAGUUGUUAAAAGAUUAAAUAUUAAAAUUUUUUUAAAUAACUUGCAUUCGACAUUGAGAUAUCUUAAAUUUUUUGCGGGUCUCGAUUCAGAAUCGUUUGUAGUUGUUUAUAGCAAAAUUACCACUUUGCUUUCAUUUGUAGUUGAACCGUUCGCGAGGUAUCUGUGUUUGCUGGGUGAUAAAUAUACCGAUCAGGGCAGCCCCGAUAACUUUGGCCUUGACAUAUGUUGUCAAGGUCAUCGGGGAGGGCUCCCCUGAUCAGUAUAUUUACCUUAUACCUCACAAACGGUUGACUACAAACGAUUCUAAAUCGAGUCCCGCAAAAAAAUUUAAGAUAUCUCAAUGUCGGGUGCAAAUUAUUUAAAGUUUUAAUAUUCUUUAAUCUAUUAAACUAUAAACAAAAUUAUCGUUACUAUAAUAACAAUUCUUUAUUCUCUUCAGCAAUAUACAGCCAAGAAGGAGACUUGGUUUACAUACAAUCUAAAUCACUCAUCCUUCCAUCCAUCCGCUUUUCUAUUUUUCUAUCUUAACCCUGUACUUAAACUAUAAUACUAUCACAAAGUAUCCUUAACUCACUACAUAUUCCCUCGUCCUGCUAUCCUAUAUUUUAUCUUACUCAUUUAACAUUAAGUAUGGUCAUAGACCAAUAAUAACCUAUAUCGCACAAAAUAUACGUAAACUCAAUAACUACAUGACUACGUGACUAGUGACCGUCGAUACACAAUAAAUACUCUAUUGCCUUGCUAUAAAUAAAGGUCUCGGUAUCACAGUUUUCUUCUUUCUCCUCUUUACAUUCUUUACAAUCUUCUUUCUUAUUCUACAUCUUAAUAUUUAUACCUAACGUAUAUCUUAUUUAUUCUAUCUCUUAAAUUCUUUGACUUGACACAUUUUCUUUAUCCUAUCCAUAUCUUACUCCCUCUGUCCUUUUAUAUUUUCCGCUCUUCUUAUUUUCUCCAAUCUUUUUUCUUCUCUCCAAAACUCCUUCAGGACUUCUUCUUGGUUUCCGUCCAAUUCAUCAUUUUUUAUUCUCUCCAUUCUUUUAGCUCUAUUUUUUUUCUAGCUCUUUAAACCACACAUUCGCCACUCGCCACUUCGCAUUCUUCUAUGAAAUGCAUUAGCUCGUCAUUUCCUUUUCUACAAAAUACGCAUACUCUUCUCUUUUCCUCUAACCAAUACUUAUUGUACUCUACGGAUAUUACCGCAUCUUAAUCUAACUGGUGCUCUUACUUCUACACCAUUACUUUUAUUCUUUAAAUUUUUCCUACUUAGAUACCUAAGCUUAACUUCUAUUCUAUCUAUAUCUUUUUCUUUAUAUUUUAUAUUAUACUUCGCAUUUCUAAAUCUGUUAUCUUUCUCUUGUUUUCGUAUAUCCCUAUCCCUAUUCUACAAUUCUUUAACUAAAUUUCUUUCCUUCUUAUUUCCUAGAAAAUCUAUUGCCCUCGCGCUCCAUCCAUUUCUAUUAUAAUAUUUCUCUCUUUCUAUCCCAUAUUGAUCCAGCCAAUCUUCCUUUUCUCUUUUCUCUCCAGCUUAAUCCACCUAUUCUCCUCCAAUUUCUUUAUUUUUUCCUCAAAUUUCCUAGCUCUAGACCCCCAUUUAAUUUCCAAUUUAUUUAACCCUAAUAUUCUUACCAUUAUACAAGGUGUCAUGCAUAAGGUAUGAAAGUUUUCAUGGAAAGAUAGAUGGGAUCAAGGUGGACAUAAAAAUCUACCAUAGUUUUUAGAUAUCUCCAAUGAUAGUCGAAAUAUAAAUUUUUCAAAUUCUACGGAUGAGAGCGCGCCGAGGGAAGCGCCGAACCGCUCGAGCUGUAGCAUGGCCCACUGUGUCAAGCAUUGUCUGCUGCCGGCGGGGGAGGGAGGGAAGCGCGCCGUUGCUCGUGUUUCGCCGCGCUUCUCCUUCUUCCCUCUCACCGCCGGCAGCCAAUGCUUGACACAAUGGGCUGUGCUAUAACUCGAUCUGCUCAGCGCUUCCCUCGACGCGCUCAUUCGUACAAUUUAAAAAAUUAAUAGUCUUACUCUAUUUUUAGUCAAAAUAACCAUAUUAUUCGCAUAUAUACUAAGAACCAUAUUCUUUCUCUAUCUUAUUCAAUACCUCCUAUAUCUCUUCUGCAUAUAACUCUAAAUCUGCAAUAUACAAAUUGAAAAGCAGUGGGCUCAUCACACAUCCCUAUCUUACUCCUUUCGUCGUAUUGAAAACCUCCGUUCGUCCGUUCUCUAUCCUUAUUGUUACCCUCGUGUCCUCAUAUAUUUUCUUCACUCUUCUAAUCAUCUGCAUCUCUAUUUCUACUUCUUCCAUCAUGCUCCAUAGUUUCUCUCUUUUAAUGUUGUCAAAUGCUACUUUCAGGUCUACAAAGAGAGCCUUACUUUCACUUUUCCUCUUCUCCCUCUGUACAACGUGGUUCAAGAUAAAAAUAUUAUCCAUUGUUCCUCUUUCUCUCCUAAAUCCUCCUUGACUCUCAGGCAGUACACCCAGCUUUCUGUUUCCUUUUCUAACUUAUUUUUUAUCAAUUCUGCGUAUAUCUUGUAUGCUGAACAGAGCAAUGAAAUUCCUCUGUAGUUUUCCAUUUUUUCUUGGCUUCCUUUUUUAUGUAAUGGCACUAUAACGCUUACUUUCCAACCUUCGGCAUGCUACCACCAUCCCAAAUUUGCCUUAUUAUUUCUGUUAGGCCUUUUUUUGUUUUUUAUGUUUUAUGAUAUUUAUUGUAUUAUUCGUUUAUAUAUAAUUUUUAAAGAAAAAAACCAUGGAGACUGGAACACGAGCGAGACAGGCAGAAGAGAUUCGGAUAAUGAUGGAGAGAUCUUCUAAUGAAACAGAAUUUCUAAAUGAUUCAUCGAGUAAUUCUGAAAAUAAUAAUGAAAAAUUGGAGAGUUCAGAGUCGGAUAAAUUGGCGAAGGAAAAUUCAUACAGUGAAAAUGGAAAAGACGACUCUGACGACGAAUUAGAUCGUGAGGCACAAACAGUGAAAAGCACGAUUUUCAAGAAAUCCUACUGCUAUUACAUUAAAAUUUAUUUAUGGUAAUAACCGUUAUAAAUGGUCGCUUGAUUCACCUGCUUCGCGCGAAGGUCGCCUGUUACGGACAAUUUUGGUCCCUAUGGCAUAGGAAAUGGUGCUACUGUGAUGAAUGAAGGCGAGGCGUGGUCUCUAUUAUUACCUGAUAAUUUACUGGAAAAAAUGUUAUUCAUACAAAUGAGCGAAUUGCUCGGAAGAGACCUAAUUUUUCGGAAAAGCUUACUUAUACUUACGAUUUAAACCUUAUGAAAUUGAAAGCUUACUUGCUCUUCUGUAUUUUUCGGGAUUGCGAGGAUCGGUUCGUCGAAAUAUGAAAACAUUGUACGGUAAACUCAGCUCGCCAAUUUAUCGCGCAACCUUGCCAAAGGUUCAAAUUUUUAUUAACUUAAGAUAAAUAAAGAUAAAUUAGCACUUAUCCGCAAAAUCUAGGAUAGUUUUGUCAACUGUAAAAAUAACUGUAAAAAUAACAUUACAAUUGAUGAACAGUUAUUAAGCUUUCGAGGAAGAUGUGUUUUCCGUAUCUACAUAAGAAAUAAGCCCGAUAACUACGGAUUAAAAAUUGUUAUGAAUGACUCUGAAAUCGUUUAUUUGAUCGACAAAAUUCCGUAUGUAGGACGAGUUGCUGUAGAACCGAACGAAGAUAUACCGGACAUUACGUGCGUAAAUUGAGUAAAUCAAUUUCUGAAAAUAAUAGAAAUGUUACUUGUGACAAUUAGUUCACUUCGAUUCCGCUAA
This 3926-nucleotide long non-coding RNA is filed under the name Monomorium pharaonis (pharaoh ant). Its description in RNAcentral is "uncharacterized LOC118647344". The record is from RNAcentral. Lineage: Eukaryota; Metazoa; Arthropoda; Insecta; Hymenoptera; Formicidae.